UUGUCAUGGCUCAGGAUGAACGCUAGCUACAGGCUUAACACAUGCAAGUCGAGGGGCAGCAUGUUGGUUGCUUGCAACCAAUGAUGGCGACCGGCGCACGGGUGAGUAACGCGUAUCGAACCUGCCUCACACACGGGAAUAGCCUUGCGAAAGUAAGAUUAAUGCCCGGUGGUCUUAUAUGAUCGCAUGAUUGUAUAAGUAAAGAUUUAUCGGUGUGAGAUGGCGAUGCGUCCCAUUAGCUUGUUGGCGGGGUAACGGCCCACCAAGGCAUCGAUGGGUAGGGGUUCUGAGAGGAAGGUCCCCCACAUUGGAACUGAGACACGGUCCAAACUCCUACGGGAGGCAGCAGUGAGGAAUAUUGGUCAAUGGACGAAAGUCUGAACCAGCCAAGUAGCGUGCAGGAAGACGGCCCUCUGGGUUGUAAACUGCUUUUAGUUGGGAAUAAAACGCGGUACGUGUACCGCCUUGUAUGUACCAUCAGAAAAAGGACCGGCUAAUUCCGUGCCAGCAGCCGCGGUAAUACGGAAGGUUCGGGCGUUAUCCGGAUUUAUUGGGUUUAAAGGGAGCGCAGGCGGACUUUUAAGUCAGCUGUGAAAUCUGGCGGCUCAACCGUCAGACUGCAGUUGAUACUGGAAGUCUUGAGUGCACACAGGGAUGCUGGAAUUCAUGGUGUAGCGGUGAAAUGCUCAGAUAUCAUGAAGAACUCCAAUCGCGAAGGCAGGCAUCCGGGGUGCAACUGACGCUGAGGCUCGAAAGUGCGGGUAUCAAACAGGAUUAGAUACCCUGGUAGUCCGCACAGUAAACGAUGAAUACUCGCGAUUUGCGAUACAAUGUAAGUCGCCAAGCGAAAGCGUUAAGUAUUCCACCUGGGGAGUACGCCGGCAACG
This 887-nucleotide ribosomal RNA is filed under the name uncultured Bacillota bacterium. RNAcentral's name for it is "bacterial SSU rRNA". It matches the Rfam family "Bacterial small subunit ribosomal RNA", at positions 14 to 893 of the family's 1533-position model. The record is from RNAcentral. Lineage: Bacteria; Bacillati; Bacillota.